This 489-nucleotide ribosomal RNA is filed under the name uncultured bacterium. Its description in RNAcentral is "partial 16S ribosomal RNA". It matches the Rfam family "Bacterial small subunit ribosomal RNA", at positions 30 to 506 of the family's 1533-position model. The record is from RNAcentral.
AUUGAACGCUGGCGGCAGGCCUAACACAUGCAAGUCGAACGGUAACAGGAAGCAGCUUGCUGCUUUGCUGACGAGUGGCGGACGGGUGAGUAAUGUCUGGGAAACUGCCCGAUGGAGGGGGAUAACUACUGGAAACGGUAGCUAAUACCGCAUAACGUCGCAAGACCAAAGAGGGGGACCUUAGGGCCUCUUGCCAUCGGAUGUGCCCAGAUGGGAUUAGCUAGUAGGUGGGGUAACGGCUCACCUAGGCGACGAUCCCUAGCUGGUCUGAGAGGAUGACCGGCCACACUGGAACUGAGACACGGUCCAGACUCCUACGGGAGGCAGCAGUGGGGAAUAUUGCACAAUGGGCGCAAGCCUGAUGCAGCCAUGCCGCGUGUAUGAAGAAGGCCUUCGGGUUGUAAAGUACUUUCAGCGGGGAGGAAGGGAGUAAAGUUAAUACCUUUGCUCAUUGACGUUACCCGCAGAAGAAGCACCGGCUAACUCCGU